RNAcentral lists this long non-coding RNA (831 nucleotides) under Lathyrus oleraceus (garden pea). RNAcentral describes it as "Pisum sativum (pea) long non-coding RNA (PSAT_LNC034195)". The record is from RNAcentral. Lineage: Eukaryota; Viridiplantae; Streptophyta; Magnoliopsida; Fabales; Fabaceae.
CUCUCAAGCCUUACUAUCUUAUCAGUGGUGCAUGAAAAUAAGCAUAUGCACAUAUCAUAUAACCAAAGUGUAGCUCAUGAAUUAACAACAUAGUGAUCAGCAAAAAAAACAUGUUUCCACUUAAUCACAACCUUUAUUCAAAUAUUUGCAUAGUUUAUAUAUCAUCUUAAAAAUUUUAAGAUGCAAGCAUAAUCGAAUCGAGUCUCAAACGCACAAAAUAUGCACAACCAACAGCAGAAAAGAAAAAAGUGUAAGUGUUACCGAAACAGCGAUGCGGUCGGGACCGAUUCAGUUUUCUCGGUCUUGUUCGCAGUGUUCAAACCAAGUCAUCAUUAACCUUCAAAGGUUCAUCACUAUGAAAACAUAACAUGGUUAAGGUAUGUUGUUGAGUUUGUGCCGGAAUCAGACGGAGCAACAAUUAUUGUGAUGUUGCUAAAGCAAAUCCGGUUAUUUGCGGUUGCUGAACUUUAUGGUAAGUGUCGUUGAUGUUUGAGCUGGGUGUUACACCAAAGACGAGGUUAUCACGGUGGCGAGAGAAUGUGGAGGAGCCACCACACGGUUGCAUAGAAACGUGCGGUUUAUGGAGCGCUGUGAGUGGAUAAAAAAUAGAGUAGAGAAGAGGUUUGAGGUAGUGUCCUGGUUGUUGUGUACUGUGAAGAAUGAAUCGAAGAAGGAAGAAAAAAAUGGUUGUUAAUGGUGUAGGAUGGUGAUGAAGGACGCGGAGGUCUCCGAAAAUGGGAAGGAGAGAGUGAUGGUACCCCUGUAACUUCUUUUCUCCUUUUUUAUUUCGUGAGUUGAGAGGUUAAAAGAAUAAUGAAAAAAAUCAUCUCC